GCGGGUGUGGCGGAAUUGGCAGACGCGUAAGAUUUAGGAUCUUAUGUUCAUUCGUGCAGGUUCGACCCCUGUCACCCGCACCA
RNAcentral lists this transfer RNA (83 nucleotides) under Clostridia bacterium. Its description in RNAcentral is "tRNA-Leu". It matches the Rfam family "tRNA". From Rfam's summary of the family: Transfer RNA (tRNA) molecules are approximately 80 nucleotides in length. Their secondary structure includes four short double-helical elements and three loops (D, anti-codon, and T loops). The record is from RNAcentral. RNAcentral also lists the same sequence under 1 other name. Lineage: Bacteria; Bacillati; Bacillota; Clostridia.